ACAUGUCAGGUUGGUUAAUUUUAGGUCAAUAUUAUGGGUUUUAAUUGGUUGAGAGAGAGAGAGAGAGGUUCAGAAUUUAUGGAUUUAAAAUAAAUAUAAAAAACCCCCCAUUUUUUCAGUGAGAAAUUCUUUUAUUUAUAUAACAAAUUAUGUAUUAAAAUAGAUGAGAUGGCAGAUGACAUGGGUUGCCAUGUCAUGUGCCACAUGUGUUGGUAUCCAAAAGUUGGUAAACAAGUUGGUGCCCGUAGCGUUAUUGAUAUUAUAUAUGAUCAGUCCCGAUCUCUUGGACCACAGGAGUCCAAGAGAUUUGUGGUCACUCACCGUUGGAUGUAAAUUUAACGGUUCACUCAAUCUUGAACUCCUUUUAAGAAACUUUUUUGAACCAUUAGAUUAAUAUCCAACGGUCAGUGACCACAAUCUCUUGGACUCCUGUGGUCUAAGAGAUCAAGACUGUAUAUAUGAUAUAUGAUAUUAUAAUAUAUUAUAUUAGUUUUAGCAUAUUUAUCCUAAAAUAAAAUAACAUAUUAGGUUCUUUUCGUCCACAAAUUAACCAUAAAAUUUCUUGAUCUCCCUUGUACUCAUCUCUCUUAAAUCUUCUAAGUUAGUUUAUAAUUUUUGCACUAAAAACUCCUAAAGUUUUAACAUUUCUUUCUCUUUCACUUCCUCUUUUAUUUUUCUCAUUUUUUUUAUGUAUGAGUUGGGUACCUAAAUAUUGCGGUUUAUGAACUCUUUUUUUUUUGUUUUUCUAUUUCUUUUCUAUGUUGGAAUCUAAAUUAUUAAUUUUUAAGUCUUUAAUAGUGUAGAUGUUGAAAUUAGUAUUUAACCAAUUUAAAAUAUAAAAUUCAUGAUAAUUAUGAAGAGAGACAUGUUAUUUUAUGAAGCACCCCCUCAAAUGUGAAAUCCUAACUUCACCACUGCUUAUAAACUCAUAAUAUUCAUAUUAUGUUACAUCGAAACUCUAGAUAUGAAUUUAGCUACUCAUAAUGUUAAAGUAACAUAAGGCAACGACGAUGAACCCAUUAAGUUAUGAGAACAUUACAAUUGAAGAGAAAUAGCCUCCCCCACACUCUUAAAAUAAUCACUUCCUCUCAACCCAAAGCUCAAUAUAGAUUUCCAAUACACCCAAUCUCACAAGCUUGCAAACUCACAAAUUUAAUACCUCUAAUUGUAUCUCUCAAUACUAACAGAGAUCCAAAAACCUCAAUUAUUCUCUAAUCUCCCAACGAAGGAGAGCCCCAAAACCCUACAUGGUGACAAACCCUAAAUUUUCCCACACAAACAUACAUCACAUAAUACACUGUUUAUAGACUCACACAAAACCCUAAUCUUACAAGAAUAAGUAAACCAAAACCUUGUCCACCAAUCACACCAAAACAUGGCUACAUAUAACUCUAAUAGGAAUAGGAAACGUGCAAACUACCUAGGCCAACUGGUCGUUCAUCCAUAGUCAAUCUAUCGACUUACUUAGAAAGUGAUAGGUUCACGCACAUGUAGCGGUCUAAACUACAGUAAUUCCUUUCAAGACUAUUGAAAGCUUUCUAUGACGGUUGGAAAUUUUUAAAACUUUAUAUCAUUGGCCCUCAACUCCCAUCCAGGGUCGCCGAUGUUGCAUCCAGUAUGUGCUCACCAACAUCACAUCCACGAUCGUUUUGCUGCAACCUUCACAAGAACAACAUCAAAGGUCACAACGCUGCGUCGUAUCAUCACUCUGAUCUAGCAUUGUGCUCACCAGUAGAGGUGUCAAACAGGUCGUGCCAGCCCGGCCUAUCCUGUGUAUAGUCGAACCGUGUCGGGCUUGUCCAUUUAUGAAAAUCAUCAAUCUCGGUCCGAGCCCAAGUCCCUAGCUAAUAUGGGACCGGGCUCGUGUUAGGCCACUAAACGGGUUGGUAUAGGCCCAUACCAAAUUUAACUUAUGUAUUGCAAUUUUUUUUUUUUUUUGUAAUUUUGUUUACAAUUAUGUAUAUAUUAACAAGAUUUAUUAUUUGUUGGAAAAAUAGGCUAAUAUAUUUAUUUGAACUACAUUUAAAUAGAAAAUGGCUAGAUAUGUUCAGGUUUUAGAAAUUGAAACUUGAAAAUCAAAACCAUUAUUUUGUUUAUAAAGAUAACAUUAAAUUUUAAUAUAUAUUCUUACAGCCCCGAUCUCUUGGACCACAGGGUCGAAGAGACUGUGGUCACCCCACUGUUGGAUGUAACAUCCAACGGUUCAAAAAAGUUUCUUAAAAGGAGUGCAAGGGUGAGUGAACCAUUGAAUUUACAUCCAACGGUGAGUGACCACAAAUCUCUUGGACCCCUGUAGUCCAAGAGAUCGGGACUGUAUAUUCUUAAAGAAAAAAAAAAUAUACUCGAAUUUAAGAUAUAAAAAAUAUAAUAAUAUUAUGUAUUAUUUUUCUCUAAAGUAAAUAUAAUUUAAUAAAUAGGCUUUAAACGAUGAGCCGGCAUGGCCAUUAGGUCGGAUUACCUUGUUUCGGCUAAUCCAAAUAUACAGAUCGUGCGGUGUCGAGCCUUACUUAAUUAGGUCAUGCUCAGGCAGUCCCUAUCAGUUUGACACCUCUACUGACCUGCAGAAUUGAAGAGUCGGCUUCCAACAGAGGCCAAGCUAGCUCUCGACCAUGUCCACCGCUGACGACAAGUGAAUGAGUUACGAUCGGCGAAGAUCUUUCUAAUUUUGUUUUACAGAGAGACACAUGUCAGGUUGGUUAAUUUUAGGUCAAUAUUAUGGGUUUUAAUUGGUUAAGAGAGAGAGAGAGAGAGAGAGAGAGAGAGAGAGAGAGAGAGAGAGAGAGAGAGAGGUUCAUAAUUUAUGGAUUUUUGUUGGGAGGGAAAUGGCUGGGUUCUGGGUAGGUUUUUUUUUUAUAAGUUUUUUUAAUUUUAUUUUUAAUGUUAUUAUAUAUAUAUAUAUAUAUAUUUUUAAGGAAUUGGUUAAUGGGUGGGUUUGUUGUGCGGAAACACUCCAAGACGAUGGACUACAUGAAGUGCACACACAUAAACCUCUUUGAGAAUAAAACACACACACCACGAAGAAAGUAAAACAAACACACAAGGACACAAAAACUUAUAGAGGUUCGGCCUCCUGCCUAUGUUCUCUUGGUGAUCCACUUGAAGAAAUUCACUAGUAUGUAAGAACAACUUUAGUUACAAC
RNAcentral lists this long non-coding RNA (3139 nucleotides) under Prunus persica (peach). RNAcentral describes it as "long non-coding RNA (PPER_LNC003082)". Lineage: Eukaryota; Viridiplantae; Streptophyta; Magnoliopsida; Rosales; Rosaceae. The record is from RNAcentral.